GCCCGAGUGGCGGAAUUGGUAGACGCGCACGACUCAAACUCGUGUUCUUACGAGUGCCGGUUCGACUCCGGCCUCGGGUA
RNAcentral lists this transfer RNA (80 nucleotides) under Bacteroidota bacterium. RNAcentral describes it as "Bacteroidetes bacterium (groundwater metagenome) tRNA-Leu". It matches the Rfam family "tRNA". Rfam says of the family: Transfer RNA (tRNA) molecules are approximately 80 nucleotides in length. The record is from RNAcentral. RNAcentral also lists the same sequence under 1 other name. Lineage: Bacteria; Pseudomonadati; Bacteroidota.